AGGGCAAACCGGGGAGCUACGGCUCUCCGGGGUUGAGGACUGCAUUUAGUCUUAAUGGUUUAUCCGAACUACCUGGAAAGGUAGGCAACACAGUGUAAAAGCCACGUAGGUUAAAGACCAGAGAGAUGAGCAGUAUCCAGAGUACCACGAGGCACGAGGAAUCUUGUGGGAAGCCGGGGGGACCACCCUCCAACCCUAAACACUGAAUGGCGACCGAUAGCGCAUAGUACCGUGAGGGAAAGGUGAAAAGAACCCCGGGAGGGGAGUGAAAGAGAACCUGAAACCGUAUGUCUACAAGCAGUCGGAGCGAAAGCGACGGCGUGCCUAUUGAAGAAUGAACCAACGAGUUACGUGCACUAGCGAGGUUAAGUGGAAGACACGGAGCCGAAGCGAAAGCGAGUCUUAAGAGGGCGGAUAGUUAGUGUACGUAGACCCGAAACCGCAGUGAUCUACCCAUGUCCAGGUUGAAGCGCAGGUAAAAUUGCGUGGAGGACCGAACCUGUGAGCGUUGAAAAGCUUUAGGAUGAGAUGUGGGUAGAGGUGAAAUUCCAAUCGAACGCGGAGAUAGCUGGUUCUCCCCGAAAUAGCUUUAGGGCUAGCCUCAAGUAGUAAGUAUAGGCGGUAGAGCACUGAUCGGGCUAGGGGCCAUAAAGGUUACCGAACCCUGUCAAACUCCGAAUGGUUAUACUGUAGAGCUUGGGAGUCAGACUACGAGUGAUAAGAUCCGUGGUCAAAAGGGAAACAGCCCAGACCACCAGCUAAGGUCCCCAAUGUCGUACUAAGUGGAAAAGGAUGUGGGGUCUCUAAAACAACCAGGAUGUUGGCUUAGAAGCAGCCACCAUUUAAAGAGUGCGUAAUAGCUCACUGGUCGAGAGACCCUGCGCCGAAGAUUACCGGGGCUAAAGUACGAAACCGAAGCUGUGGCUACGACGUAAGUCGUGGGGUAGGGGAGCGUUCUGUGAGGGCUGAAGUCGUUCUGUAAGGAACGGUGGACUUCACAGAAGUGAGAAUGUUGGUAUGAGUAGCGAAAAGAAUGGUGAGAAUCCAUUCCACCGAAAGCAUAAGGAUUCCUGGGCAACGAUCGUCGUCCCAGGGUAAGUCGGGACCUAAUCCGAGGCAUGGAGCGUAGGAGAUGGAGAACUGGCAGAUAUUCCAGUACCGGUAAUGAUUGUUUGAGCGAUGGAGUGACACAGGAGGGCAGGCAGGCAGGAGAUUGGUUGUUCCUGUACAAGCGUGUAGGAUGGGACGUAGGCAAAUCCGCGUCCUGUGAGUCUGAGGCGUGAUGUGGAGGUUCCGGAAACGGAACUGAAGCUGCUGACCCCACACUGUCGAGAAAAGCUUCUAGUUAGAGAAUUACCGCCCGUACCGUAAACCGACACAGGUAUGCGGGGAGAGAAUCCUAAGGUGCGCGGGAGAACCCUCGUUAAGGAACUCGGCAAAAUGUACCCGUAACUUCGGGAUAAGGGUAGCCGCUGUUGUGAAGUCUGAACAGACGGAGCAUGAGGCGGUCGCAGAGAAGAGGCCCAAGCGACUGUUUACCACAAACACAGGUGCCUGCUAAAGAGAAAUCUGACGUAUAGGUGCUGACACCUGCCCAGUGCCGGAAGGUUAAGGAAGGAUGUCCGGAGCAAUCCAAAGCAUUCGACCGAAGCCCCGGUGAACGGCGGCCGUAACUAUAACGGUCCUAAGGUAGCGAAAUUCCUUGUCGGGUAAGUUCCGACCCGCACGAAAGGUGUAACGAUUUGGGCACUGUCUCAACGAGGGACCCGGUGAAAUUGAAGUACCUGUGAAGAUGCAGGUUACCCGCGACUGGACAGAAAGACCCCAUGGAGCUUUACUGUAACCUGACAUUGGGUUCUGAUACAUCACGUACAGGAUAGGUGGGAGGCAUGGAAGCGAGGACGCUAGUCUUCGUGGAGCCGCCGUUGGGAUACCACCCUUGAUGUAUCGGAAUUCUAACCGUAGGAGUAACGAAACUCGGGACAGUGUCAGGCGGGCAGUUUGACUGGGGCGGUCGCCUCCCAAAGAGUAACGGAGGCGCCCAAAGGUUCCCUCAGCGCGGCCGGAAAUCGCGCGAAGAGUGUAAAGGCAGAAGGGAGCUUGACUGAGAGCCAAACACGGCGAUCAGGUACGAAAGUAGGGCUUAGUGAUCCGGUGGCAUCCAAGUGGAAGGGCCAUCGCUCAACGGAUAAAAGCUACCCUGG
RNAcentral lists this ribosomal RNA (2204 nucleotides) under human gut metagenome. RNAcentral's name for it is "bacterial LSU rRNA". It matches the Rfam family "Bacterial large subunit ribosomal RNA", at positions 264 to 2471 of the family's 2925-position model. The record is from RNAcentral.